UGCAAUCUAUAUAUCUAGUUAUCUAGCUAGCUGGAUCUAUCUAACUAUCGCACCAAAUAUCCCUCAUCUGACUGCAUCCCAUUUUCACUCAUGUGUUUCUGUCUUUUAGGCUGUGAUAAGAAGUACGGUACGGGUUGCACUUUGCUUUAUGUAAUAAUUGCCAAAUAUUUUGAUUUCAGAUAUGGGAAAAGCACUUAAGAUGAGCACACGUUUCAGGAACGUUAAAAUUAAGUUGGUGAGGAGGUCUAUCGCGGGCCCUGCAAGUUUUCUUACCUCAGUCAAGGUCUUCCCCAGCCCAGCUACAAACAGACCCACUCUUCAGACCCUUCUAUUACAUCUCAACCUGCUGAACCUGAUGAUGCGACACCAAGCUGUUCUGAGAGCGCAUACAGUAAGGCAAAGAAGAGAGAGCUUCAUGCCUGGGAUGCAGUCAAGGAUGAGAUGCUUAAGGUGACGUUUGAAUGUUCAGCACCGAUCACUACCCAGUGUGUUGUCUGCUGAGAACAUGCUGAUUAUAGGUGCAUUGAGUGCAGCUCCACUACAGUGUUCUGUGAGGUUUGCCUGAAGAGGAUUCACAGAAAUUCACUGCAUCUUCCUGAAAAGUGGAAUAAUGUUUACUAUGAGCCAUCCUCCCUGGGGUUAUUCUUAUAUUUACCUGAAGCCCAUGGCACCCAUGCUGUGUACACAAAGGACAUGAAGGUCAUUGUCAGCACAGGACGGCUCUGCACCGUUACAGUCACCAUGUGUGCGUGUUAACCAGAAACCUGUACUCUGCUGAGAUAUGGGCUCUGACCAGCAACAGCCACAAGCCCCAGACAGACAGCCUUCUCCAUCCCUCUGCUAGAGCUUUCUGUUUCUCUGGCACUGGAGUGUCAGGUUUCUGUUGAGGGUUUUUGCAACACCCCAUAUCCCAUUUUAGGCAUCACCACUUCCGACAAAGAAGUUUGGUUGAUAUUUGCCCACAAUUAAAUGAUGGAACAAUAUGCCCAGCAUGUCCAAAGGCGGAUGGAGAUAUGAUUGUCACAUUGGAUGCAAACUUUGGCCUUGUGAGGAAUCAAAGCUCUGGUACAAGUGCGGUUGAUCCAUUACACAGAACCAGCAUGUUUAGAGGAAUACCUGCUAUCACAUCUUGACAGCUCAAAGCCUCAAGAGGACUGCAGUAAGCUGCUCUCAUUCAAGGUCUCCAACAGCUGGAAAGAAAAUGACAUCAAGCCACUGUGAUGUUUCACCCACAUGUACAAGACAUUAUAGACAUAUAAUUAUAAUAUAUAAAUAAUUUAAUUACUUUACUGCGUUACUUGUGCAGACAUGUUGUUUUACUAGGUCUGAUCUAUUUUAAAGCUUAGGCACUGUAUUUAAGCAUACAUAUCCCCACUAGUCUGUCUGUAUGAGUACAAAAUUAAAAAAUAAACUGUCUAUAAUUGUUACUGUACAAGCACAGUAAAAUAUUUUUAUAAAAAAUAUUGCACUACUGUUAUUUUGCAUAGAAUACAUUGUUCAACAAUAUUUUUGCACACUCAUCCAACUGUAUUUAUUACCACUGUUCUCACGUUCCUGCUCUUCAUAACAUAUAUAUAAUCCUUCUUUGCUCUGUUCAUAAUGUACAUACAAUCCCUACAUUGCAUUCAUAUUUAUAUUCUGUAUAUACUCUGAUCAAUAUUGUAUAUAGCAACUCCACUGUACUUUCUGUAUAUCAUAGCUUUACUUACUCUGCACUUUUAUGUAUAUAAAACACUAUAUUCUUGCACUUCUGGUUAGAUGCUAACUGCAUUUCAUUAGCUCUGUACUUGUACUCUGCAUAAUGACAAUAAAGUUGAAUCUAAUCUAAAAAAA
Long non-coding RNA from Carassius gibelio (silver crucian carp), 1833 nucleotides. RefSeq lists it as uncharacterized. Lineage: Eukaryota; Metazoa; Chordata; Actinopteri; Cypriniformes; Cyprinidae. The transcript has 5 exons. The record is from RefSeq and is a predicted model, not a curated record.